UUACAUGCCCAGCAGCCGCGGUUAAUACGGAAGGGUGCAAGCGUUACUCGGAAUCACUGGGCGUAAAGAGCGUGUAGGCGGGUUGAUAAGUUUGAAGUGAAAUCCUAUAGCUUUAACUAUAGAACUGCUUUGAAAACUGUUAACCUAGAAUAUGGGAGAGGUAGAUGGAAUUUCUGGUGUAGGGGUAAAAUCCGUAGAGAUCAGAAGGAAUACCCGAUUGCGAAGGCGAUCUACUGGAACAUUAUUGACGCUGAGACGCGAAAGCGUGGAUAGCAAACAGGAUUAGAUACCCUGGUAGUCCACGCCCUAAACGAUGUACACUAGUUGUUGUGAGGCUCGACCUUGCAGUAAUGCAGUUAACACAUUAAGUGUACCGCCUGGGGAGUACGGUCGCAAGAUUAAAACUCAAAAGGAAUAGACGGGGACCCCGCACAAGCGGUGGAGCAUGUGGUUUAAUUUCGACGAUACACGGAAGAACCUUUACCUGGACUUGGACAUAGUAAGAACUUUCUAGAGAUAGAUUGGGUGUCUGCCUUGCAGAAACUUAUAUACAGGUGCUGCACGGCUGUCGUCAGCUCGUGUCGUGAGAUGUUGGGUUAAGUCCCGCAACGAGCGCAACCCUCGUCAUUAGUUGCUAACAGUUCGGCUGAGAACUCUAAUGAGACUGCCUACGUAAGUAGGAGGAAGGUGAGGACGACGUCAAGUCAUCAUGGCCCUUACGUCCAGGGCUACACACGUGCUACAAUGGGGUAUACAAAGAGCAGCAAUACGGUGACGUGGAGCAAAUCUCAAAAAUAUCUCCCAGUUCGGAUUGUAGUCUGCAACUCGACUACAUGAAGUUGGAAUCGCUAGUAAUCGUAGAUCAGCUAUGCUACGGUGAAUACGUUCCCGGGUCUUGUACUCACCGCCCGUCACACCCAUGGGAGUUGAACUCAUUCGAAGCGGGGAUGCUAAAGUAGCUA
RNAcentral lists this ribosomal RNA (962 nucleotides) under uncultured bacterium. RNAcentral describes it as "bacterial SSU rRNA". It matches the Rfam family "Bacterial small subunit ribosomal RNA", at positions 501 to 1447 of the family's 1533-position model. The record is from RNAcentral.